AUCUUCAGGGCAGGGUGAAAUUCCCGAUCGGCGGUAUAGUCCGCGAGUGCGUCAGCACAGGACUUGGCAGUUGUCCAAGUCAGGAUUUGGUGAGAUUCCAAAACCGACAGUAUAGUCUGGAUGGGAGAAGAU
RNAcentral lists this non-coding RNA (132 nucleotides) under human gut metagenome. Its description in RNAcentral is "FMN riboswitch (RFN element)". It matches the Rfam family "FMN riboswitch aptamer (RFN element)". Rfam says of the family: The RFN element is a highly conserved domain that is found frequently in the 5'-untranslated regions of prokaryotic mRNAs that encode for flavin mononucleotide (FMN) biosynthesis and transport proteins. This element is a metabolite-dependent riboswitch that directly binds FMN in the absence of proteins. The record is from RNAcentral.